This 307-nucleotide ribosomal RNA is filed under the name uncultured Cercozoa. RNAcentral's name for it is "partial 18S ribosomal RNA". The record is from RNAcentral. Lineage: Eukaryota; Cercozoa.
GACUUCUGGUUUAAUGCACCUGGCCCGCGGCCGUAAGGCCUGUGAGUGCCGGCGCGCGUUUACCAUCCUUCUAGAAAACGGGUCUUCCCUUAACUGGGCCGGAUUCGAAGAAUUUCUCUGACCGGCCAAUACUAGCACCCCCAACAUUACUUCAGUCAUAGAAACCAACAAAAUAGAACCGAAGUCCUAGAUUAUUAUUCCAUGCUCAUGUAUUCAUAGCAAUAGCCUGCUUUAAACACUCUAAUUUUUUCAAAGUAAAUGAUCUAGAUCCCUGGAUUCGGUCAAGACUAACUUAUGCGAAAGCAUU